UGGAGUAAGUAUUACUUUAUAUAAUGUGAC
This 30-nucleotide non-coding RNA is filed under the name Mus musculus (house mouse). The record is from RNAcentral. Lineage: Eukaryota; Metazoa; Chordata; Mammalia; Rodentia; Muridae.